CCUANGGGGGGCUGCAGUAGGGAAUUUUGCGCAAUGGACGAAAGUCUGACGCAGCAACUCCGCGUGAGGGAUGAAGGUUUUCGGAUUGUAAACCUCUGUUGAGUGGGAAGAAAAAUUCAGGUAAUAAUACUAUCUGGACUUGACGGUACCAUUCGAGUAAGCACCGGCUAACUACGUGCCAGCAGCCGCGGUAAUACGUAGGGUGCAAGCGUUGUUCGGAAUCACUGGGCGUAAAGAGCGCGUAGGCGGUUCGGUAAGUCUGACGUGAAAUCCCAGAGCUUAACUCUGGAACUGCGUUGGAUACUGCCGAGCUUGAGUGUGGGAGAGGAGAGUGGAAUUCCCAGUGUAGAGGUGAAAUUCGUAGAUAUUGGGAGGAACACCCGUGGCGAAGGCGGCUCUCUGGACCACAACUGACGCUGAGGCGCGAAAGCUAGGGUAGCAAACGGGAUUAGAUACCCUGNUANUC
This 466-nucleotide ribosomal RNA is filed under the name uncultured bacterium. Its description in RNAcentral is "bacterial SSU rRNA". It matches the Rfam family "Bacterial small subunit ribosomal RNA", at positions 338 to 795 of the family's 1533-position model. The record is from RNAcentral.